GACGAACGCUGGCGGCGUGCUUAACACAUGCAAGUCGAACGGAAAGGCCCUGCUUUUGUGGGGUGCUCGAGUGGCGAACGGGUGAGUAACACGUGAGUAACCUGCCCUUGACUUUGGGAUAACUUCAGGAAACUGGGGCUAAUACCGGAUAGGAGCUCCUGCUGCAUGGUGGGGGUUGGAAAGUUUCGGCGGUUGGGGAUGGAUUCGCGGCUUAUCAGCUUGUUGGUGGGGUAGUGGCGUACCAAGGCUUUGACGGGUAGCCCGCCUGAGAGGGUGACCGGCCACAUUGCGACUGAGAUACGGCCCAGACUCGUACGGGACGCAGCAGUGGGGAAUAUUGCACAACGGGCGGAAGCCUGAGGCAGCAACGCUGCGUGCGGGAUGAUGUCCUUCGGGUUGUAAACAGCUUUCUCCGGUGAUGAAGCGUGAGUGACGGUAAUGGGUAAAGAAGCACCGGCUAACUACGUG
RNAcentral lists this ribosomal RNA (468 nucleotides) under uncultured bacterium. Its description in RNAcentral is "partial 16S ribosomal RNA". It matches the Rfam family "Bacterial small subunit ribosomal RNA", at positions 28 to 507 of the family's 1533-position model. The record is from RNAcentral.